GGCCAAUUUCCUUCUUUCUGGACAAAAACAACAGAUCUUUGAUGACAGACUCAUAAGCAUAUUAGCAACUUCUUCUAACAGUAAGAAUUUCAAAGUUUAUCAUAAUGAAACCAACAGCUAGUGAGUCCAGAUUGGAAUUAUCUUAAUACUAGAGAUUACUGCAUUAAUCAUGGAUUGGUGAAGCAAUUCUCUGCUUCAGAGUACUGAUUAAUUCAUACUUCUGGUGUUCCAUUGUUUAUCAUUAAAGAUCAGGUCAUUUCGUGCAUUCAUUAGCUUCCAUGCCAGGAACGGCCAGUCCGAGAAGAGAGCCAUCAACGAGAAGAGCUUUCAGAUUUUCCAUCAGUGCUUCCUAUUUCAGGAUGCCUAAACAUAUUCAGCUCUCAAAUUCAGACGCCAAGAAAACUACGCUUCUCUUGCUGACCAUUAGCCCCUUAAACCCUCUUCCACCCCAAGUGGCCCAGACUUUUCAAAAAUUUAUACCAUCAUCAGAUGUAAAAUCAAAGGCAGUUCCUUGAUCUUGAAUGGUAGAACAAGGACUUGUACCUGGAGCCAGCUAGAUCCUGCACAAUUGCUAGGAGGCCACAGAACAGAAUAGGAAACUCUUUUACCAAGCUCAUGAUGUCUCUAUAAUGAAGAAGAACAAUAUGUUCACAGGCCCUGCCAAGAAAAAUAACAUGUGAGCAAAUUCAGCACAAUAACAAUACAAAGCUUGGCAUUUCCAACCUACUCAUAAAAAAAAAUGUCAAUAUGCAGGAGACAAAUGGCUAAACACAUAAAAUAGAAAUACAAAUUAAGCUACUA
Molecule: unclassified non-coding RNA, 801 nt
Filed under: Hevea brasiliensis (rubber tree)
Lineage: Eukaryota; Viridiplantae; Streptophyta; Magnoliopsida; Malpighiales; Euphorbiaceae
Source: RNAcentral